RNAcentral lists this ribosomal RNA (2546 nucleotides) under Escherichia coli SCD1. Its description in RNAcentral is "bacterial LSU rRNA". It matches the Rfam family "Bacterial large subunit ribosomal RNA", at positions 398 to 2925 of the family's 2925-position model. Lineage: Bacteria; Pseudomonadati; Pseudomonadota; Gammaproteobacteria; Enterobacterales; Enterobacteriaceae. The record is from RNAcentral.
UGUGAGCUCGAUGAGUAGGGCGGGACACGUGGUAUCCUGUCUGAAUAUGGGGGGACCAUCCUCCAAGGCUAAAUACUCCUGACUGACCGAUAGUGAACCAGUACCGUGAGGGAAAGGCGAAAAGAACCCCGGCGAGGGGAGUGAAAAAGAACCUGAAACCGUGUACGUACAAGCAGUGGGAGCACGCUUAGGCGUGUGACUGCGUACCUUUUGUAUAAUGGGUCAGCGACUUAUAUUCUGUAGCAAGGUUAACCGAAUAGGGGAGCCGAAGGGAAACCGAGUCUUAACUGGGCGUUAAGUUGCAGGGUAUAGACCCGAAACCCGGUGAUCUAGCCAUGGGCAGGUUGAAGGUUGGGUAACACUAACUGGAGGACCGAACCGACUAAUGUUGAAAAAUUAGCGGAUGACUUGUGGCUGGGGGUGAAAGGCCAAUCAAACCGGGAGAUAGCUGGUUCUCCCCGAAAGCUAUUUAGGUAGCGCCUCGUGAAUUCAUCUCCGGGGGUAGAGCACUGUUUCGGCAAGGGGGUCAUCCCGACUUACCAACCCGAUGCAAACUGCGAAUACCGGAGAAUGUUAUCACGGGAGACACACGGCGGGUGCUAACGUCCGUCGUGAAGAGGGAAACAACCCAGACCGCCAGCUAAGGUCCCAAAGUCAUGGUUAAGUGGGAAACGAUGUGGGAAGGCCCAGACAGCCAGGAUGUUGGCUUAGAAGCAGCCAUCAUUUAAAGAAAGCGUAAUAGCUCACUGGUCGAGUCGGCCUGCGCGGAAGAUGUAACGGGGCUAAACCAUGCACCGAAGCUGCGGCAGCGACACUAUGUGUUGUUGGGUAGGGGAGCGUUCUGUAAGCCUGUGAAGGUGUGCUGUGAGGCAUGCUGGAGGUAUCAGAAGUGCGAAUGCUGACAUAAGUAACGAUAAAGCGGGUGAAAAGCCCGCUCGCCGGAAGACCAAGGGUUCCUGUCCAACGUUAAUCGGGGCAGGGUGAGUCGACCCCUAAGGCGAGGCCGAAAGGCGUAGUCGAUGGGAAACAGGUUAAUAUUCCUGUACUUGGUGUUACUGCGAAGGGGGGACGGAGAAGGCUAUGUUGGCCGGGCGACGGUUGUCCCGGUUUAAGCGUGUAGGCUGGUUUUCCAGGCAAAUCCGGAAAAUCAAGGCUGAGGCGUGAUGACGAGGCACUACGGUGCUGAAGCAACAAAUGCCCUGCUUCCAGGAAAAGCCUCUAAGCAUCAGGUAACAUCAAAUCGUACCCCAAACCGACACAGGUGGUCAGGUAGAGAAUACCAAGGCGCUUGAGAGAACUCGGGUGAAGGAACUAGGCAAAAUGGUGCCGUAACUUCGGGAGAAGGCACGCUGAUAUGUAGGUGAAGUCCCUUGCGGAUGGAGCUGAAAUCAGUCGAAGAUACCAGCUGGCUGCAACUGUUUAUUAAAAACACAGCACUGUGCAAACACGAAAGUGGACGUAUACGGUGUGACGCCUGCCCGGUGCCGGAAGGUUAAUUGAUGGGGUCAGCGCAAGCGAAGCUCUUGAUCGAAGCCCCGGUAAACGGCGGCCGUAACUAUAACGGUCCUAAGGUAGCGAAAUUCCUUGUCGGGUAAGUUCCGACCUGCACGAAUGGCGUAAUGAUGGCCAGGCUGUCUCCACCCGAGACUCAGUGAAAUUGAACUCGCUGUGAAGAUGCAGUGUACCCGCGGCAAGACGGAAAGACCCCGUGAACCUUUACUAUAGCUUGACACUGAACAUUGAGCCUUGAUGUGUAGGAUAGGUGGGAGGCUUUGAAGUGUGGACGCCAGUCUGCAUGGAGCCGACCUUGAAAUACCACCCUUUAAUGUUUGAUGUUCUAACGUUGACCCGUAAUCCGGGUUGCGGACAGUGUCUGGUGGGUAGUUUGACUGGGGCGGUCUCCUCCUAAAGAGUAACGGAGGAGCACGAAGGUUGGCUAAUCCUGGUCGGACAUCAGGAGGUUAGUGCAAUGGCAUAAGCCAGCUUGACUGCGAGCGUGACGGCGCGAGCAGGUGCGAAAGCAGGUCAUAGUGAUCCGGUGGUUCUGAAUGGAAGGGCCAUCGCUCAACGGAUAAAAGGUACUCCGGGGAUAACAGGCUGAUACCGCCCAAGAGUUCAUAUCGACGGCGGUGUUUGGCACCUCGAUGUCGGCUCAUCACAUCCUGGGGCUGAAGUAGGUCCCAAGGGUAUGGCUGUUCGCCAUUUAAAGUGGUACGCGAGCUGGGUUUAGAACGUCGUGAGACAGUUCGGUCCCUAUCUGCCGUGGGCGCUGGAGAACUGAGGGGGGCUGCUCCUAGUACGAGAGGACCGGAGUGGACGCAUCACUGGUGUUCGGGUUGUCAUGCCAAUGGCACUGCCCGGUAGCUAAAUGCGGAAGAGAUAAGUGCUGAAAGCAUCUAAGCACGAAACUUGCCCCGAGAUGAGUUCUCCCUGACUCCUUGAGAGUCCUGAAGGAACGUUGAAGACGACGACGUUGAUAGGCCGGGUGUGUAAGCGCAGCGAUGCGUUGAGCUAACCGGUACUAAUGAACCGUGAGGCUUAACCUU